Molecule: small nucleolar RNA, 107 nt
Organism: Dioscorea cayenensis subsp. rotundata (Guinea yam)
Lineage: Eukaryota; Viridiplantae; Streptophyta; Magnoliopsida; Dioscoreales; Dioscoreaceae
Source: RefSeq, a predicted model, not a curated record
AAUCUGUGUUGCGGACACUUUACCAUGAGCUCCUUAAACCUUUCCCAUGUCUCGAAUAGAGACUCCAAUUCCAACUGAACAAAGGACGAGAUCUCAUUCCUAAGCUU